This 71-nucleotide transfer RNA is filed under the name Candidatus Niyogibacteria bacterium CG10_big_fil_rev_8_21_14_0_10_46_36. Its description in RNAcentral is "tRNA-Gly". It matches the Rfam family "tRNA". Rfam says of the family: Transfer RNA (tRNA) molecules are approximately 80 nucleotides in length. Their secondary structure includes four short double-helical elements and three loops (D, anti-codon, and T loops). Further hydrogen bonds mediate the characteristic L-shaped molecular structure. tRNAs have two regions of fundamental functional importance: the anti-codon, which is responsible for specific mRNA codon recognition, and the 3' end, to which the tRNAs corresponding amino acid is attached (by aminoacyl-tRNA synthetases). tRNAs cope with the degeneracy of the genetic code in two manners: having more than one tRNA (with a specific anti-codon) for a particular amino acid; and 'wobble' base-pairing, i.e. permitting non-standard base-pairing at the 3rd anti-codon position. Lineage: Bacteria; Candidatus Niyogiibacteriota. The record is from RNAcentral.
GCGGAUAUCGUUUAGUGGCAGGACACCUCGUUGCCAACGAGGAAGUGCGAGUUCGAUUCUCGCUAUCCGCA